This 253-nucleotide ribosomal RNA is filed under the name uncultured bacterium. Its description in RNAcentral is "partial 16S ribosomal RNA". It matches the Rfam family "Bacterial small subunit ribosomal RNA", at positions 524 to 776 of the family's 1533-position model. The record is from RNAcentral.
UACAGAGGGGGCAAGCGUUGUUCGGAAUUACUGGGCGUAAAGGGCGCGUAGGCGGCCUGUUAAGUCGAACGUGAAAUCCCCGGGCUCAACCCGGGAACUGCGUCCGAUACUGGCAGGCUUGAAUUCGGGAGAGGGAUGCGGAAUUCCAGGUGUAGCGGUGAAAUGCGUAGAUAUCUGGAGGAACACCGGUGGCGAAGGCGGCAUCCUGGACCGAGAUUGACGCUGAGGCGCGAAAGCGUGGGGAGCGAACAGG